CUCCCACUGGACGCCUUGUUGCUGCAAUUGUUCUCCCAAUUGUACUUGUUGUUCUUCUAGCUAUGCUUGUAUACGAGUGUUGCACCCUGAAAUGUACAAAAAAAGCACUAGGAGUGCAAGUCCCAACUAGUGAUGUACCUGCCUGAUGACCUGAGAGGCCUGAUGAUCAAUGAUCAAUGACAUCAUGUAUAGUCUCUUCCACUUUAUUAAAUAAUUGCGACAUUUAAACAGAUUUUCAUGUAUUACUGUAUGACAGAUCAGUUAUACUCCUGCUCACUGACAUGGUUUUAAAGUUAUUGUUAUCUGAUUUCUG
Molecule: long non-coding RNA, 313 nt
Organism: Perca flavescens (yellow perch)
Lineage: Eukaryota; Metazoa; Chordata; Actinopteri; Perciformes; Percidae
Exons: 3
Source: RefSeq, a predicted model, not a curated record